RNAcentral lists this transfer RNA (56 nucleotides) under Dipodomys ordii (Ord's kangaroo rat). It matches the Rfam family "tRNA", at positions 9 to 63 of the family's 71-position model. Rfam says of the family: Transfer RNA (tRNA) molecules are approximately 80 nucleotides in length. Their secondary structure includes four short double-helical elements and three loops (D, anti-codon, and T loops). Lineage: Eukaryota; Metazoa; Chordata; Mammalia; Rodentia; Heteromyidae. The record is from Rfam by way of RNAcentral.
GGCUCAGUGGUAGAGCACUUGCCUUGCAUGCAUGAAGCCCUGGGUUCAAGCUCCAG